UCGAAGAGUUUGAUCAUGGCUCAGAUUGAACGUUGGCGGCAGGCCUCAUACAUGCAAGUCGAACGAGAAAGCCCCUUCGGGGGUGAGUACAGUGGCGGACGGGUGAGUAACGCGUAGGAAUCUGCCUGAUAGUGGGGGACAACCCGAGGAAACUCGGAUUAAUACCGCAUACGAUCUACGGAUGAAAGCGGGGGAUCUCAACGCGCCGGCGCAAGUCGGUGCGCGACCUCGCGCUAUCAGAGGAGCCUGCGUUGGAUUAGCUAGUUGGUGAGGUAAAGGCUCACCAAGGCUACGAUCCAUAGCUGGUCUGAGAGGACGAUCAGCCACACUGGAACUGAGACACGGUCCAGACUCCUACGGGAGGCAGCAGUAGGGAAUAUUGUGCAAUGGGCGAAAGCCUGACACAGCCAUGCCGCGUGUGUGAAGAAGGCCCUAGGGUUGUAAAGCACUUUCAGUGGCGAAGAAAAACUCCAUGCUAAUACCAUGGGGCGUUGACGUUAACCACAGAAGAAGUACCGGCUAACUCCGUGCCAGCAGCCGCGGUAAUACGGAGGGUACGAACGUUAAUCGGAAUUACUGGGCGUAAAGCGCGCGUAGGCGGUUCGCUAAGUGAGGUGUGAAAUCCCCGGGCUCAACCUGGGAACUGCACUUCAAACUGGCGGACUAGAGUGUAGUAGAGGGAGGCGGAAUUUCCUGUGUAGCGGUGAAAUGCGUAGAUAUAGGAAGGAACACCAGUGGCGAAGGCGGCCUCCUGGACUAACACUGACGCUGAGGCGCGAAAGCGUGGGGAGCAAACAGGAUUAGAUACCCUGGU
Molecule: ribosomal RNA, 814 nt
Filed under: Gammaproteobacteria bacterium
Lineage: Bacteria; Pseudomonadati; Pseudomonadota; Gammaproteobacteria
Description: bacterial SSU rRNA
Rfam family: Bacterial small subunit ribosomal RNA
Source: RNAcentral